UACGUAGGGUGCAAGCGUUGUCCGGAAUUAUUGGGCGUAAAGAGCUCGUAGGCGGUUCGUCGCGUCGGCUGUGAAAUCCCGAGGCUCAACCUCGGGUCUGCAGUCGAUACGGGCGGACUGGAGUACUGCAGGGGAGACUGGAAUUCCUGGUGUAGCGGUGAAAUGCGCAGAUAUCAGAAGGAACACCGGUGGCGAAGGCGGGUCUCUGGGCAGUUGACUGACGCUGAGGAGCGAAAGCGUGGGGAGCGAACAGG
Molecule: ribosomal RNA, 254 nt
Filed under: uncultured bacterium
Lineage: Bacteria
Description: partial 16S ribosomal RNA
Rfam family: Bacterial small subunit ribosomal RNA
Source: RNAcentral